This 737-nucleotide small RNA is filed under the name Oryza sativa Japonica Group (Japanese rice). RNAcentral's name for it is "sRNA Os08g0429901". The record is from RNAcentral. Lineage: Eukaryota; Viridiplantae; Streptophyta; Magnoliopsida; Poales; Poaceae.
CCUGACAUGUUAUAAAUGUUCUCAUCAUGGAAGUAUAAACUAUGGUAUCCUGAAUUUCCUGUCUACGAGACGAACAAACUCAAGAAACCACAAGAAAUUAGUAAGCCUGCAAAACGAGGCACUGAAUGCCAAUGGGAGGUGACAAGGUUCACUGAACAUUCCACAGAAAUGAGAAUGAUGACUAAAUGAGGAUGCAAAUUCAUCUGUUUAGCUUAAGAUUUAAGUCCAGCUGAAACCAAAGAUGUGUUCAUGGUCCAAUGGACCUUGAAAUCCGAACCAUAUACAGUUAGUUUCAGGUGCAUUGCAAGUUUGCAACAUGCCAUUCAGCAAACUAAACAAACACUUUUAGCCUUUGACCUAUAUGGAGCACUGUGAUGCAUGCUAUUCAGACUAUCUAUCUUCUGAAGGAAUGAGCCAAUACAUCUUUUCUGCAAGUUGCAGUAAGUGGAGACAAGUACCUUGUGAAAUAACAUGCUCCUUGCAGUAAUGUUCCUCAGCAGAGGCUCUGGUUCUGGUAACCAUCAGUUGUGAAAGACUGAAAGUGAAGAGAAUAGAAUAAAGACACUUAGAAAGAAGGUUUUCUUUAUGGGAUUGACUAGCACAUACACUGAGAAUAAUCUUUACAUGUUUCCAGGAUUGAACAUAUAACCUCACAAUUCAUUUUUAUGUAUAAUGUAAUGUAAUAAAUAGUUGGACCAUCUUGGUCCCACUAUUCCCUUAAAAAGACCUUAAGAUUU